This 119-nucleotide ribosomal RNA is filed under the name Nicotiana sylvestris (wood tobacco). Lineage: Eukaryota; Viridiplantae; Streptophyta; Magnoliopsida; Solanales; Solanaceae. The record is from RNAcentral.
GGAUUCGAUUACACCAGCACUAACGCACCGGAUCUCAUCAGAACUCCGAAGCAAAGCGUGCUUGGGCAAGAGUAGUACCAGGCAAAAUGACCCCCUGGGACGUCCUCGUGUUUCAUCAC